GCGAGAAAACUUUGCAAUGUGCGAAAGCACGACAAGGUUAAUCCGAGUGGUUUCUGCUAAAGAAACCUUUUGUCAGUCCUAGAAACACUGAUGAAUAAGGGGUGGGCAAGUUCUGGUGUCAGCCGCCGCGGUAAAACCAGCACCUCAAGUGGUCAGGAUGAUUAUUGGGCCUAAAGCAUCCGUAGCUCGUUUUGUAAGUUUUCGGUUAAAUCCAUGCGCUUAACGUAUGGGCUGCCGGGAAUACUGCAUAACUAGGAAGUGGGAGAGGUAGACGGUACUCGGUAGGAAGGGGUAAAAUCCUUUGAUCUAUUGAUGACCACCUGUGGCGAAGGCGGUCUACCAGAACACGUUCGACGGUGAGGGAUGGAAGCUGGGGGAGCAAACCGGAUUAGAUACCCUAGUAGUCCCUGAGCGGGCUGGCAAGGCGCAU
This 430-nucleotide ribosomal RNA is filed under the name uncultured bacterium. RNAcentral describes it as "bacterial SSU rRNA". It matches the Rfam family "Archaeal small subunit ribosomal RNA", at positions 339 to 776 of the family's 1478-position model. The record is from RNAcentral.